CCUGGAGACACAAGGAGACAGGAUGAGGGACAAGGAGGGACAUGGAGACAGGAUGUGGGACAUGGAGACAGGAUGAGGGACAAGGAGGGACAUGGAGACAGGAUGUGGGACAAGGAGGGACAUGGAGACAGGAUGUGGGACAUGGAGACAGGAUGUGGGACAUGGAGACAGGUUGAGGGACAUGGAGACACAAGGAGACAGGAUGAGGGACAAGGAGGGACAUGGAGACAGGAUGAGGGACAUGGAGACAGGAUGAGGGACAUGGAGACGGGAUGAGGGACAUGGAGACGGGAUGAGGGAUAUGGAGACGGGAUGAGGGACAUGGAGACGGGAUGAGGGACAUGGAGACACAAGGAGACAG
Long non-coding RNA from Xiphophorus hellerii (green swordtail), 361 nucleotides. RefSeq lists it as uncharacterized. The transcript is spliced from 3 exons. NCBI's taxonomy places the organism in Eukaryota, Metazoa, Chordata, Actinopteri, Cyprinodontiformes, Poeciliidae. The record is from RefSeq and is a predicted model, not a curated record.